Non-coding RNA from Poecilia reticulata (guppy), 232 nucleotides. The record is from RefSeq and is a predicted model, not a curated record. NCBI's taxonomy places the organism in Eukaryota, Metazoa, Chordata, Actinopteri, Cyprinodontiformes, Poeciliidae.
UGGUUCUGCAGGUUUCAGCGAUGGCAGUGGAGCUCGGUUCUGGUCAUGAUAAUCCCACCUUCAAAACCCGAGAAGUGACAGAUGUGGACGUUUCUUCAGGCGACAUUUAUGAAAACUGUCAGAAACCUGAACAAUACGAACAGCAGAAACCAAAACCAAACUCUGACGUGACGCCUAAAGAAGCUGCUGCUAUGAUGCCGAGUAAGUUUGAAUAAAUUCAUUAUAAUCUGCU